GUGAAUCAUCAAAUCUUUGAACGCAAAUUGCACUCUCUGGUAUUCCGGAGAGUAUGCCUGUUUGAGGGUCAGUUAAAAUAAAAAUCGGUGUGGUUGCUGACUUUCGUGGUGACGCACCGGAUGUGGGUCGUCUUGCCUUCGGUUAAGUGACCUAAAAUAUUGCAUGAUUUUUUCGAACGGAUUUAAAGGACGGUACGUACGUUUGCGAUAUCUAAUACUAGGUGUGGUUAUCCUCAUGAUUCGCGCCUAUAAUUAUUCAUCAAAA
RNAcentral lists this unclassified non-coding RNA (265 nucleotides) under Glomeraceae sp. RNAcentral describes it as "partial contains 5.8S ribosomal RNA and internal transcribed spacer 2". The stretch from base 1 to 71 matches the Rfam family "5.8S ribosomal RNA", at positions 84 to 154 of the family's 154-position model. Lineage: Eukaryota; Fungi; Glomeromycota; Glomeromycetes; Glomerales; Glomeraceae. The record is from RNAcentral.